CCUACGGGAGGCUGCAGUAGGGAAUUUUCGUCAAUGGGCGCAAGCCUGAACGAGCGAUGCCGCGUGAGUGAAGAAGGCCUUCGGGUCGUAAAGCUCUGUUGCGGGGGAAAAAAGGCAGCAUCAGGAAAUGGGUGCUGACUGAUGGUGCCCCGCCAGAAAGUCACGGCUAACUACGUGCCAGCAGCCGCGGUAAUACGUAGGUGGCGAGCGUUAUCCGGAUUUAUUGGGUUUAAAGGGUGCGCAGGCGGAAUGUCAAGUCAGCGGUAAAAUUUCGGGGCUCAACCCCGUCGUGCCAUUGAAACUGGCGUUCUUGAGUGAGCGAGAAGUAUGCGGAAUGCGUGGUGUAGCGGUGAAAUGCAUAGAUAUCACGCAGAACUCCGAUUGCGAAGGCAGCAUACCGGCGCUCAACUGACGCUCAUGCACGAAAGCGUGGGUAUCGAACAGGAUUAGAUACCCUUGUAGUC
RNAcentral lists this ribosomal RNA (464 nucleotides) under uncultured bacterium. Its description in RNAcentral is "partial 16S ribosomal RNA". It matches the Rfam family "Bacterial small subunit ribosomal RNA", at positions 338 to 795 of the family's 1533-position model. The record is from RNAcentral.